This is a long non-coding RNA of Sitodiplosis mosellana (orange wheat blossom midge), 1077 nucleotides long. RefSeq lists it as uncharacterized. NCBI's taxonomy places the organism in Eukaryota, Metazoa, Arthropoda, Insecta, Diptera, Cecidomyiidae. The transcript is spliced from 3 exons. The record is from RefSeq and is a predicted model, not a curated record.
UUUGGAAUUAGAAUGAUACAAUCAAUUGAAGAGUCACCAUACAAGGUCAAUUGGCUGUGACAAGAUUGUUUUGAGAAACUUAUUAGAAUCGCAUCAACGUUUAUUCAAUUGAAGUUCAUACGAUUGUCAAUGUUUAUUGUCGGUUAAAAAUGUGUAUGAGCAGUGAGCACAUAUCAGUAUCAGUACAAAAGGGCACAUUCUCUUCUCUUUUUUUUAUCACACAAACAAAUUAUUAUAACGCGCAUGCUUUGUACCCGAUCGCCCGAAGGUACCUCAUUUGAAUAUCCUCGCAAUCCAUUUGAACUACUCACCUUUGAUGAUCGAAUGACAGAGAAAAAAAGGCAUCUGGAUCUACAUUUCAAAUAAAUCACGAUUUGUUUCCAGCUCACGAUAUAGAUUUUCAUCGGAAAAUUCAAAAUGAAAAAUAAUAAAAAGAAAACUGCAUUUUAAUUUCCAUGUAAUUGAUUGCUUUAUUUUCGAUUUUCGUUACUGCAUCUACUCUUGUCAAAUUUAUCUUAUGACUUUAUAACAUUGUAUAUUUGUGCCAUUUUGUAAAUAGAAUCUUCCAUUUUUGUUUUUCAUUUAAUAUCAUUGAGCAUUUUCAAUAAGAAAAAAAGUGUUUUUCUUCUGUUUGCAAAGUUUGUAAAUAUAGGUAAAUUUGAUCUGCUUAGCUUAAAUCUAUGAAAAAGGCAUUCAUUUAUUGUAAAAACUAUGUGUUGAGCAUCUCUUGUCAUGGCGAUACCUUCUAAACAACGAAAUUUUGCUCUGUUCGUCAAUUUGUUUAAAAAGUGUCGGCAAUCACAAAAACAAACACCUUCAAAUAUUUUAGAGAUUUUUUUCAUCUCUUUUGCUCAUGAAAAAUUUGAACGCAUGUGUUUUCGGUGUGUCAGGCUGAUGAAAUUGUGUCGCUGCAUUUUACUUUCUUUUUCAUUUUGUAUCACACAAAAUGCAAUCGCAAAAUUUCCCAAUUUUUCUUCGUCACACAGAUUCCUAUUGAGAAUUACUUAUACUUUAGCUUUUUUUUAUUGGUCAAUUUCAAUUGUCAAAUUCGUUUCGUGUAUACAUAUUUCAUUGUAA